ACGGGAGGCAGCAGUGGGGAAUAUUGGGCAAUGGGCGCAAGCCUGACCCAGCAAUGCCGCGUGAAGGAAGAAGGCUUUCGGGUUGUAAACUUCUUUUAAGUGGGACGAUAAUGACGGUACCCUGAAAACAAGCUCCGGCUAACUACGUGCCAGCAGCCGCGGUAAUACGUAGGGAGCGAGCGUUAUCCGGAUUUACUGGGUGUAAAGGGCGUGUAGGCGGGACAGCAAGUCAGAUGUGAAAGCACGAGGCUCAACUUCGUGUCUGCAUUUGAAACUGCUGUUCUUGAGUGCUGGAGAGGCUAACGGAACUCCUAGUGUAGCGGUGAAAUGCGUAGAUAUUAGGAAGAACACCAGUGGCGAAGGCGGUUAGCUGGACAGUAACUGACGCUGAGGCGCGAAAGCGUGGGUAGCAAACAGGAUUAGAUACCCUGGUA
Molecule: ribosomal RNA, 434 nt
Filed under: uncultured Oscillospiraceae bacterium
Lineage: Bacteria; Bacillati; Bacillota; Clostridia; Eubacteriales; Oscillospiraceae
Description: bacterial SSU rRNA
Rfam family: Bacterial small subunit ribosomal RNA
Source: RNAcentral